UACGAACCGUACGAACGUUAUUCGGAUUCACUGGGCUUAAAGGGUGCGUAGGCGGCUGGGAAAGUUGGGUGUGAAAUCCCUCGGCUCAACCGAGGAAUUGCGCUCAAAACUACCUGGCUUGAGGGAGAUAGAGGUGAGCGGAACUGAUGGUGGAGCGGUGAAAUGCGUUGAUAUCAUCAGGAACACCUGUGGCGAAAGCAGCUCACUGGGUCUUUUCUGACGCUGAAGCACGAAAGCUAGGGGAGCGAACGGG
RNAcentral lists this ribosomal RNA (253 nucleotides) under uncultured bacterium. RNAcentral's name for it is "partial 16S ribosomal RNA". It matches the Rfam family "Bacterial small subunit ribosomal RNA", at positions 524 to 776 of the family's 1533-position model. The record is from RNAcentral.